Halichondria panicea is the source of this 2838-nucleotide RNA transcript. RefSeq lists it as uncharacterized. NCBI's taxonomy places the organism in Eukaryota, Metazoa, Porifera, Demospongiae, Suberitida, Halichondriidae. The transcript has 10 exons. The record is from RefSeq and is a predicted model, not a curated record.
AUGGAAGAGCAAGAAACUGAGACGUACCCAUAUGCUGCCAUCACUACUUACCUACAAUCAGGCAUGUAUCCACCAGACGCUGACAAAAAGGAGAAGCGUGGCCUCCGCAAAAGAGCAAAGUAUUUCGUGCUGUUUGGGGGCAAGCUGCAGUAUGUAGGAGGAAAUAAGAAGAACACUCCUAGGUUGGUAGUGGAAGGUGAAGAAGACAGAAGAAAGAUCAUUGAGAGCAUCCAUGGGCAAGCUCAUCUAGGAAGAGACAAAACACUUUCUCAGCUAACUCAACGAUACUACUGGCCAAACAUGUACAAGACAGCAUGUGCCUACAUUGCUUCAUGUGACCACUGCCAGCGCCAAAACCAUAAGUUGCAUAAAACUAAUGCAACACUUUCUCCCAUUCCUGUUAAAGAAAAAGCCUGGUAUCAGGUUGGAAUGGAUUUAGUGGGUCCUCUGCCUGUAACUCCAGCAGGAAACAAGUUCUUGAUGACAAUUACAGAUUACUACACAAAGUGGGCUGUAGCUGCUGCUCUAAAAGACAAAACUGCAUUGUAUUUUGCACAUACGGCUGCCCUACUGUUAUCCUCAGUGACCAAGGAAGAGAAUUUGUCAAUAAAGUUACUGAGGCACUCUUUAAAAGAACAAACACACAGCGCUAGAAUCACUUCCGCCUAUCAUCCUCAAGAACUGCAACCUGGAAUCAAGGUUUUGGUUGAGAACACCCAACAAAAGGAGAGGAAAGGUGGAAAGCUCGAAAACAAGUAUAGUGGACCAUACAUUAUUAAGACCUCAGAUGGAAAGGGUGUCUAUACCCUUAAGGACUUGGAUGGGAAGGUGUUAAAAAAGAAAUGUAAUAUCAAACGUCUCAAGGUUUAUAUGGAUCCUUCUUCAUUGGUUGAACAAAAAGCUCUCAGUGGCCAAACUUCACCGGAUAAAUCCAAUGGCUCUACCCCACCAGAGAAAUCCAAUGGCCCCACCCCACCAGAGAAAUCCAAUGGCUCUACCCCACCAGAGAAAUCCAAUGGCCCCACCCCACCAGAGAAAUCCAAUGGCCCCACCUCACCAGAAGAUCCAAAUGGCCCCACCCCACCGGAGAAACCCAAUGGUGGCUCUACCCAACCAAAGAAAUCCAAUGGCCCCACCCCACCAGAAGAUCCAAAUGGCCCCACCCCACCGGAGAAAUCCAAUGGCCCCACCCCACCAGAAGAUCCAAAUGGCCCCACCCCACCGGAGAAAUCCAAUGGUCCCAUCCCACCAGAAUAUCAAAAUGGCCCCGCCACAUUGGAUGAUCCCAAUGUCCCUACUUCACCGGACGGGCCCAAUGACCAAUUGGAGGAUCCCAAUGGACCCACACUCCCGGAUAAUAUGCCUGGCCUCUCUUCAAAAUACGUUUCCAGUGGGUUUGAUGAUCCUAUUCUGAUGGAAUGUCUGUUUGAUCCAAGCCUUUUGAGACUGUACAGAACAGGAGCUUCUACACAUCUGUACAGAAGUGAGGAGGAUGAUGAUUUUGAUUUAUCGUACCUCUUUCAAAACAAGCACGAGUAUGGCUUGAGCAAAGAUACUGAUGUGGCACUGUGGCUAGCUUACAGAGCAUACACCCAUCAACCAGACUUAGUUGAAGCGUUUGAUUUCGUGGUCGUCAAUUCACUCCUUCACAAUCAGUUUGACGACUUCAAAAAAGCAGAAAACACUGACAUCAGCUACUUAGAAAUGAACAGCCUGUUACAUUUCUACAUCCGUCAACACCCCCAGUCUGGUACUUUCCUGACAAAAAAGUAUGGUAAAACAUACCUAACCUGCACUUGUGGUCAAGUCAAUGAACUAUGUCAAUGGAUCUACGAUAUGAGAAAACAACACCCUCAAGACUUGCCACAAAGUUCUGUGAUGGGCAAAGAGCAGCAAAAGAUGCCACUUUGCUCAACACCAGACGUGAGCCUUACACAUGGACCUGUGGUGACUCAUUUGCAACCAAUUGAUGUCCCCUUAGACCGUCCACCACCACCUAAGAGACGAAAGUCUAAUCAGUCUGUACCUAAGAGUCAAAAGACCAGGUAUGCUGGGAGUCUCUGGAUAUACCUGACUUAGAUCUACGUUACAGGGAUAGGGCAGUUGUAAAGAGAGGAAAACUAUGUGACAAGCAUAUGUAUGCUGCCCAUGAAGUGCUGAGGUAUCAGUUCCCUCAUCUGCAUGGUCUUCAAUCGACAUUACUUACCCAAAAAGAGUUUAAAGCAAUGCAAUGUCAUGACUCUGUUGUAAGAGCCGUUCAGAUACUAUUUGUUGAGGAAAGAGAGCACUGGGUUGUUUCCAGCCUCACCAAUGGAAAACUGAGACUAUACGACAGCUGUUCAACUGGAGAAUUAACCUCAAGUCUUCAAGUACAGCUAGCUCAAAUAUACGGCAAUCAAUUUGCGGUUAACAACAAACUCAAAGUUUACAUUGAGCCUGUACAGCAGCAAGAAGGAGAAAUGGACUGUGGUGUUUUCAGCAUUGCAAAUGCAUACAAUGCUGCACAGGCGAAGAGUACGAAAGAUGUAACGUAUGACUCACAACAAAUGCGUUCACACAUUCAGCACUGUUUUGAAGCUAAAACGUUCAGCACUUUUCCUCAAUCUAAAAAUUCGGCAGCAAUCAACAGAUGUGAUCCCAAACAGAUAAUCAUCGAGCUGUACUGCACUUGUGGUCUUCCAGAGACAUAUGAUAGCCGAAUGACCGAGUGUACAGAAUGCCAAAAGUGGUCACUUUAAAUGCAUGAACAUCAAGGUCAGGCCAAGAGGAUGGCUGUGUAUAACAUGUAGAUCUAAUUCAUGUUAACUGUAUCACCAAACUGUUAAAUUGUUAUUAAAU